This 424-nucleotide ribosomal RNA is filed under the name uncultured bacterium. RNAcentral describes it as "bacterial SSU rRNA". It matches the Rfam family "Bacterial small subunit ribosomal RNA", at positions 356 to 773 of the family's 1533-position model. The record is from RNAcentral.
AGGGAAUCUUCCGCAAUGGACGAAAGUCUGACGGAGCAACGCCGCGUGAGUGAUGAAGGUUUUCGGAUCGUAAAGCUCUGUUGCCAGGGAAGAACGUCUUCUGGAGUAACUGCCAGGAGAGUGACGGUACCUGAGAAGAAAGCCCCGGCUAACUACGUGCCAGCAGCCGCGGUAAUACGUAGGGGGCGAGCGUUGUCCGGAAUUAUUGGGCGUAAAGCGCGCGCAGGCGGCUGUUUAAGUCUGGUGUUUAAUCCUGGGGCUCAACCCCGGGUCGCACUGGAAACUGGGCAGCUUGAGUGCAGAAGAGGAGAGUGGAAUUCCACGUGUAGCGGUGAAAUGCGUAGAGAUGUGGAGGAACACCAGUGGCGAAGGCGGCCCCCUGGACAAAGACUGACGCUCAGGUGCGAAAGCGUGGGGAGCAAAC